Molecule: ribosomal RNA, 459 nt
Filed under: uncultured bacterium
Lineage: Bacteria
Description: partial 16S ribosomal RNA
Rfam family: Bacterial small subunit ribosomal RNA
Source: RNAcentral
CCUACGGGAGGCAGCAGUGAGGAAUAUUGGUCAAUGGGCGGGAGCCUGAACCAGCCAAGCCGCGUGAGGGAAGAAGGUACAGCGUAUCGUAAACCUCUUUUGUCAGGGAACAAAGGCGGGGACUAGUCCCCGGAUGAGGGUACCUGAAGAAAAAGCAUCGGCUAACGCCGUGCCAGCAGCCGCGGUAAUACGGAGGAUGCGAGCGUUAUCCGGAUUUAUUGGGUUUAAAGGGUGCGCAGGCGGCCUGUUAAGUCAGCGGUAAAAGGCCGGGGCUAAACCCCGGCGAGCCGGUGAAACUGGCGGGCUGGAGUUGGAGAGAAGUACGCGGAAUGCGCGGUGGAGCGGUGAAAUGCUUAGAUAUCGCGCAGAACCCCGAUUGCGAAGGCAGCGUACCGGCUCCACACUGACGCUGAGGCACGAAAGCGUGGGUAUCGAACAGGAUUAGAUACCCGAGUAGGC